AUUGAACGCUGGCGGCAUGCCUUACACAUGCAAGUCGAACGGCAGCGGACCUUCGGGUGCCGGCGAGUGGCGAACGGGUGAGUAAUAUAUCGGAACGUACCUUUCAGUGGGGGAGUAACGUAGCGAAAGUUACGCUAAUACCGCAUAUUCUGUGAGCAGGAAAGCAGGGGAGUCGCAAGACCUUGCGCUGAUUGAGCGGCCGAUAUCAGAUUAGCUAGUUGGUGAGGUAAAGGACUCACCAAGGCGACGAUCUGUAGCGGGUCUGAGAGGAUGAUCCGCCACACUGGAACUGAGACACGGUCCAGACUCCUACGGGAGGCAGCAGUGGGGAAUUUUGGUACAAUGGGCGCAAGCCUGAUCCAGCCAUGCCGCGUGAGUGAAGAAGGCCUCGGUU
This 394-nucleotide ribosomal RNA is filed under the name uncultured bacterium. RNAcentral's name for it is "bacterial SSU rRNA". It matches the Rfam family "Bacterial small subunit ribosomal RNA", at positions 30 to 424 of the family's 1533-position model. The record is from RNAcentral.